AAAAAAAAAAAAUCACCUUCCAUCGCGCGAAACCUCCGUUUAAUUUACUUUGGAAAGGCCGGUGCAGGGCAUCGCCAGUUGAGACUCGAGAACAUGGCAGCUGAAAAGCCCCAACAAAGCGCCGCCGCCGCCGAGAGAGAUAAAGAGAUGAGUCUCUCAUCACAAGAGAUGUCAAGAAAAACCCAUUGCUUUCUCUCCAAACCCUCAAACAAUUUCCUCUCAGAUUCUUCUAAUCCUCUUCUCCUUUCCAUGGCUAGGAGGAGGGGGAGUUAGAGCAGGAUGUCGUCGAAGUGCCCUUCGAGGAGCUCCAGAAAGCCCGUGCUGAUGGCUCCCACAGCUCCCACACCUUCCGCCCCCCAAGCCAACCCCCAACUAGAAGCCUGGUUGCACCAAUAAGAACAGGCGAUUUAUGGUUGAGAAGGCCGAUGGAGGCGAGCAGCAAGGUGCAUCCAGGGAGAUUCAGGGAGGUCAUCCAGGCACCCAAAAGAACAUCUGGAUCAGAUGGUGCUGGAUGUGCUGCGGGUCUUGGCACUUGAGGUAUUUCGAGCUAGAUUCAGUUAUAUUGGUGGUGACUGGAUCCGGUAGCCGUUAUGUUUUUCAAGAUAUCAAGGUCAAGCUAUAAUGUCUACAUCUAUUCAGUUCUUACUCAAUGUUGCAGAUCUGGCUAAAAUCCAGCUUGCAGUUGAUUUGUCUCUAUAUACUUUUGUUUGAAAAAAGUGAGAUGAAUGAUGUCUUUGAUUUGUAAUUGUUCAUGGGCAGGAAUAAAGUAUGUCAGUGCACCAAAAUUAAGCAGAA
Molecule: non-coding RNA, 795 nt
Organism: Elaeis guineensis (African oil palm)
Lineage: Eukaryota; Viridiplantae; Streptophyta; Magnoliopsida; Arecales; Arecaceae
Source: RefSeq, a predicted model, not a curated record